UUCGCCUUCAUGAAGCCGGAAUUGCUAGUAAUGGCAGGUCAGCAUACUGCCGUGAAUACGUUCCCGGGCCUUGUACACACCGCCCGUCACACCAUGAGAGUUGGGGAUACCCGAAGCCUGUGAGCCAACUGUAAAGAGGCAGCAGUCGAAGGUAGAAUCAAUGAUUGGGGUGAAGUCGUAACAAGGUAGC
This 190-nucleotide ribosomal RNA is filed under the name uncultured bacterium. RNAcentral's name for it is "partial 16S ribosomal RNA". It matches the Rfam family "Bacterial small subunit ribosomal RNA", at positions 1311 to 1500 of the family's 1533-position model. The record is from RNAcentral.